Molecule: ribosomal RNA, 291 nt
Filed under: uncultured prokaryote
Description: partial 16S ribosomal RNA
Rfam family: Bacterial small subunit ribosomal RNA
Source: RNAcentral
GUGCCAGCAGCCGCGGUAAUACAGAGGGUGCGAGCGUUAAUCGGAUUUACUGGGCGUAAAGCGUGCGUAGGCGGCUUUUUAAGUCGGAUGUGAAAUCCCCGAGCUUAACUUGGGAAUUGCAUUCGAUACUGGUUAGCUAGAGUGUGGGAGAGGAUGGUAGAAUUCCAGGUGUAGCGGUGAAAUGCGUAGAGAUCUGGAGGAAUACCGAUGGCGAAGGCAGCCAUCUGGCCUAACACUGACGCUGAGGUGCGAAAGCAUGGGGAGCAAACAGGAUUAGAAACCCCUGUAGUC